CUUGCAAGUUAAUACAAAAUUUCAUUAUGAUUGUUUCGAGUCCUUAAGGCUACAAUAUUGCUAUAAUAUUGCUGCAAACCCAGUUAUAAUGUUAUAUUAAAAAAAAAUUUCUUCAAUAAGGUAGCCAUUAUCAGAAAAUUUAUUGAAAAUAGGUUAUCCUUUUACCCUCCAAAGAACUACAAAUAGCUUAGGGCAUCCAAAGUCGUGAAUUUUGUUAUGCAAAUAAAUUUAUUCCCUACCAUUAAAAUACAUAAAUGCAAUCUUAAUGGCCUUUUCUGCUGUGCCUAAACCAAAUCCAGAUAUUCAAAAAGUCAUCCUGCUCGACGUUGUCAAUACAUUUGUUGUUGCCUCGACGGCGGUCACAAAAAGUAGCUCAUCUCUCGCUGGAAACCAGUUUUUAUGCUUCGCUCCCAACCGGUUUUCAUCCUGAUAACUUACAGCGAAUUUCGUGGCUCGUCUCGCUGCGUGUCUGGCUAUGAGGCUCGGAUCAGCUCGGUAUCGGCCUCAGUCCCAGCAUAAAUUGCACUUCGCCUGCACGGAUCGCGCAUGAAUAUUCUGCCCAGCAAUCUGGCCAAGUGACCAAGCCGAUUUCGGGAGCAGGGGCCUGGGGCCAGUGUCAUAUGCCCGACACUCGGUGCAGCGAAAUGUAAGGAACGUUCAAAUAAACGCGCAUUUUCCAGAGAAGUAGAAAAACUUCCACCCUCAAAGCGGCACACAGCGCACAAACAUACAGACAGUCGUACAAACACACAGCGAACUAAUACAGACAUGUAAAAUACCCAUUUUAACUGCCGAUUAAGUUAACCAGGAGAGAUUGGAUGAAAACGAGUGCCAUUAGCCCGCUAACGAAGUAUAAAAACUAAAAACCAUCUGAAACAUACGCGAGAAAAAGGGGUGCAAUACCCCCCAACCGAUAUACCCAGCGUGCCCCUGGGCACUGUCACUGUCAUUUGCGUCGCAGCGCUGCCGCCGUCCGCGUCCGCGUCGCUUUGCCUGGCCCAGUGUUUCCGCUUUCUUUCGCCUCGUUGUAAUGUUACUUUUAGUUUGAUGUCGGAGCCUCGACGAGCCGGUCGUAAGCGAAAUCGUAAGCGAGACUUUAGUGCGAUUCCGCUCCGUUCCGCCGGUUGUGUGUGCGUGUUUAGUUCGAGCUGAGGCGAAGCAGAGGCAGAAUCGGAAUCAGAAUCCAGCGGAAUCGAGAAUCAGAAUCGAAACCGAAAGUGGUUCUCCGCGUGUGCGAGCUAGUGUGUGUGUGUGUGUGUACGUGUUGUGUUUGGGCCCGCUUUUCUGCUUUUCUACCCCCGAAAAAGCAAAGCACAGCAUAAAACUGUGCGCUCGUAAGCGCGUACGUGUGUCUAUGUGCCUGUGUGUGAGUGCUAGUGUAUGAGUGCGGCCAGGGGAAAGGAGGCAAAGAAAAGAAAACCAACCCCCACCAGCGACGGCGGAGAACAGGAAAA
Molecule: long non-coding RNA, 1454 nt
Organism: Drosophila simulans
Lineage: Eukaryota; Metazoa; Arthropoda; Insecta; Diptera; Drosophilidae
Exons: 2
Source: RefSeq, a predicted model, not a curated record